Long non-coding RNA from Ruditapes philippinarum (Manila clam), 5105 nucleotides. RefSeq lists it as uncharacterized. The record is from RefSeq and is a predicted model, not a curated record. NCBI's taxonomy places the organism in Eukaryota, Metazoa, Mollusca, Bivalvia, Venerida, Veneridae. The transcript has 2 exons.
UAAUAUUCGAUUUAUCCGCUAGAGGAUUAAAUCUUUUAUUCAAAUCUUACAACUUAACAUUUUUUAUUAUAACACCCCAGUAGGGCCUCAAAAAGAGUUGUCAGGGGAGACAACUUACACUUGAAUAUGUCAUAUAUAAGGCAGAGCAAAUUCUGGGAACGGUCUUUCAAUCGUGGCUCACCAUAGAAGAGGUAGACUAGUUUAUCUUCGUUUAAAAAAUCUAAAAUUUACAUUUCAAAUCUUGAAUAUCAACGAAUAUUAUUUAGAAUCGCACAGGAGAUUAAGAUACAUUUUAUAUUUCUGCUCAUUAUUAUUUGUUUUAAUAUUUGGGGUUUAUUAGAAAAGAACUUUGACCAGAUCUAAUAACCACCCGGCACUUCUGAAUAUUCAAAAUAAUGUUACGACUUUAAUAACAAAGGCUUUUGUACAAAUAGAUCAUGUACUUACAAACACGUUUGCAUCGAAUGCUUUGGUAACCACCCUUCAAUACACUGUUAUGCAAAUAAACAAACAGCGCAAUUCACACCGCGUUAUGUAUUUAUAUUGCCAGCUCAAAGAGUGCCUAUGGGACCUGGGGUUUUCACCAAUUAAUAUCUAGUUUCUCGCUGAUAAACUCUUUCAAUGCCCAAAUAAGGAUGAUGCCAAUUACAUUUUAUAAGGAUUCAGCACUGGUUUUAAACUCGAAUAUACGGGACCAAGAAUCCCUAUUUUUUUGUCCAAAAAUCUCAAAUCGGCAAUUGAUCAAAAAUGCUUAUUAAGUAAAAAGCUUCACGACGAAUUUAUACUUGGGCGAAUCCUAGGACCGUUCAAAAAAAGGCCAAUUACUAAUCUGAGAAUAAAUCCCGUAGGUCUCGUACCAAAACAAAACGGUGCUUUCAGCUUUCAUACCCACCAGGCAAAGUAUAAAUGAAUUUAUCGAUCCUGAAUUUUGCCAUGUUUAAUAUUCACAAUUCGAAAAUGCAGUAAGAAUAGUUCAAGAAAUAGGGGAUUCUGCUAUUAUGGCAAAAGCUGACAUUUCUUCUGCAUUUAAUUUAUGCCCUAUAUGGCCAGGUGAUUUUGAUUUAUUAGGUAUAAAAACCGAGGAGGGAUAUUGAAUUCAAAAAAUGCUGCCACAAGGCGCAUCAUGUUCAUGUUUUAUUUUUGAAAAUGUUUCAAAGUUUUUUACAAUGGCUUGUGUCUAAAGAAUCAAAAUCAUACUACAUUGACCACCUACAGUACUAGAUGAUUUUUUUAUGGCAGAAAAAUCUUUUGAAAAAUCAUAAAUGCUUGAAUUUAAUGCGAACAUUUGAUAAAAUUUGCAAUGAACUUGGUGUCCCCCUAAGUGUCGAAAAAUGAAUGGGACCUGUUAUAACUAUAACAUACCUGGGUCUAGAAAUUGAUUCAAUCAACCAAAUGGUUAAGGUGCCUUUAGAAAAAAUAAGGAAAGCGAAAACAGUCUCGUUUGGGUGAGAAACACUAAUAAGAUUAGACUCAAACACUUACUUGUAAUCAGUCGUUGGUCUAUUUAAUUUUAUAUCGAAAGCUAUUCCCAGUGGCCGUGCCUUUAAAAGACGUUUUUAUGGCGCCAUGUCGUAUGUAAAGAAACCGUUCCAUUUUAUUAGUCAACCAAGGCAUGAAAGAAGAUGCACAUAUUUGGCUAACAUUUUUUUUGAAAAAUUCAAUGGUUAUGUUAUGUUUAAAAAAAAAAAAAUUAAAAAAAAUGGGUAGAUAAGUAAGAUAACAGCCAUUUAGAACUAUAUAUUACGGAAUAUAUUGCAUACAUGUCUUUACGUCAAUACUCAUUUUCAACAGUAGCUGUUCACGUUUCAACAAUAAGUUAUUUUAAUAAAAUAAACAAUUUGGUUGACAAUACAAAACAAUUCAUAGUCAAUACUAUGCUAGAAGGGUUCCGUAGAUUAUCGAAAAGGCAUGACACAAGACACCCGAUAACACAAAAUGUACUGAUACAGCUUUUAUCAGCCCUACCUAACCCUUACAGAUCACAAUAUGAGUGUUUAAUGUUUUCUGAUGCUUUCUGUCUUGCCUACAUAGGUCUGUUAAGAAUAAGCGAAAUUGCAUUGCCUUAAAAGAAAUCAAAAAAGGUUGUUUUUAAAUGUAGAUGAUGUAACGAUCAAUCAAAAUCUCAUUAGACUCUAUUUUAGAUGUCCAAAAACGACCAGAGAUAUGUCGGAUGUUCUAUUGACAUUCCGAUAACUGACCAAAAUCUGUUAUGAAAAACUGAAAGAGUUCUUACAUUUUAGAAGUAACGUGCAAGGGCCGUUAUUCUGCUAUUUCGAUGGAAGUCCCUUAACAUCCUUUCAAUUCAAUUCAGUAUUAAAAAGAACUUUGAACUCGAUAGGUCAGAAAAAAAAAAACAAUAAAAAAAAAAUAAAGCACACUCUUUUCGAAUCGGCGGGGCUUCUAAUAUGUUCCGUGAGGUUUGUGCUAUCAAUGAUAUAAAAUACAGAGUCCGUUGGCGAUCUUACGCUUAUAAAUCCUACAUCCGAUAAUUUUAUAGUAUUUCAUGGAAAAAACUUAUUUUUUUAGGAUCUGCCAAAAUGGCUGUAAUGUGAAUGCCGGCGAUCCGAAAUUUGGCUAUUUAAAUAAAGAACGUAUUUGUAUUAAGAAACCGUUACCGGGUCUUAAUACACAUUAAUGUAUUAAGAAGAGCAAUUUAUGCUGUUGUAAUAAAAAGAUGUUAUAUAUAUAUUGGCAUUAUGUGCCUGGCAUUAUGUGCCUGAUAUUGUUUUUUGAAUGUGUUGAUGUAUAACAAGCAGUUGGCAUUAUGUGCCUGACAUUAUGUGUCUUUUAUAAUUUAUAACACCCAGUUGGCAUUAUGUGCCUGACAUUAUGUGUCUUUUAUAAUUAUAACACCCAGUUGGCAUUAUGUGCCUGACACUAUGUGUCUUUAAUAAUCUAUAACACCCAGUUGGCAUUAUGUGCCUGAUAUUAUGUGUCUUUAAUAAUUUAUAACACCUGGUUGGCAUUAUGUGCCUGACAUGUGUUUUGAUAACAUUACUUGAUAAUUAUAUAUAUUAAAUGGAUAGGUAAUAUAUAAUCAAACUUAUUUCAGCCUGUAAAAUGUCGGAUGUUUGGAUUAUAGGCUCUUCAUUUAUUAGGGAUGCCUUUCAAACAGCAUGCCGCAGAAGUGAGGACAUAAAUUUCUAGGUUAUAAUGUUAUAUGGGAAUAUCAGGGGGGCAUGGAAGUUUCUGAUUUAAAACCUUCGAUAGAAUACUUGCUUGAGUUUAAAAAUGCGCCAAAAUUUUUGAUAUUACACUGUGGCGGGAACGAUUUAGGAAAUCGACCUUCAGUUGAAAUCAUAUGGGACAUCAAAAACUUUAUAACAGGGACUUUAUGGGAAAAUAUGCCUGUUACGAAAAUAAUUUGGUCUCAGAUAUUACCAAGAAGGUCAUGGAGAUAUGUCCAAUGUAACAAAACUGCAAAUAAAACCCGCAUGCGUAUAAAUAGUUGUAUCAGUGCAUUUGUUAUUAAACUCGGGGGUUAUUAUAUUCGUUACCCUGAUUGACCUUUUCGAGGACCUAGCUGGGCGCCGUUUUCCGGUACGUUGCCGUUUUAGCUCUGGGGAAUUACACCAAAUGAAGUACAUAACACAGUUACGAGAUAUUUCUAUUUUGCUAUCAUUAUUUAACCGUUUAAGGUGAAAAAAAAUUGAUCUUUUUAAAAAUUAUCAAUAUUCGUUUAAUAUCUAUUGCAAAUUAUUAAAAAAAAAAAAAAGAAGUUUAUAAUGAAAAUCAAUAAAAUUCAAACAGACGUAGUGGAAUCUUCCAUAAUAAAUAAGGUUAUUUUCUGCGUAAACUUGUGUAUUUACUUUAUUUUUUGUAUGGAAUUAUUCAUACAAUAAUAUUUAAUUAUUUUCUUAUAAAGAAAUAACUGUUUUAUUUCAAUUAAAAAAAAAAAAAAAAAAAAAAAAAAAAAAAAGGCCGAAAACAUUGAGUUCGCUAUUACACUUCAUUGGGUGAAUUCCCCGGGGCUGUGUACGGGGAGUGCCGGGGAGCGGCGUUUGGCUGGGUUUUCGAAUUCGUGAAUAUUACAGAAAACCCUAGGUUGUAUAGGCCGGAUGGCACACAUCUGUCGGACUUUGGUAACCACGUUUUAUUGAAUACAAUAUCGGGCGCUCUCAACACAUUCACGUCCAUGGCUGGGUAGGGCAAAAUUGUAGCUGUGGUAGCCCGCUUUGGCGGAAGCCCACAGUCAAAUGUUUCACUUUGCUUGUGGGCUUUUUGGCAUGUGCUACCACGUUUUUGCAACCGUUGCCGGGGCAAAAACAGUUAUAGUAAAGACAUUUAGUAGUCUUAAAUCGAAACACAUAGACAUUUCAAUAGGUUAAAUUAUUAAAAUGCUUUUAUCCAGCCAUGGCCAUUUUCAUGCCAACACGUUUUUGUUAAUAAAUACUAGUAAGUUUUUUAGACUGAUUUCUCUUUUCUUUUAUUCCCAAGUUGUAAUGUUUGAAUAAUAUUCGAUUUAUCCGCUAGAGGAUUAAAUCUUUUAUUCAAAUCUUACAACUUAACAUUUUUUAUUAUAACACCCCAGUAGGGCCUCAAAAAGAGUUGUCAGGGGAGACAACUUACACUUGAAUAUGUCAUAUAUAAGGCAGAGCAAAUUCUGGGAACGGUCUUUCAAUCGUGGCUCACCAUAGAAGAGGUAGACUAGUUUAUCUUCGUUUAAAAAAUCUAAAAUUUACAUUUCAAAUCUUGAAUCCCACCACAAACCCACCCGUUCAAUUUCAUUGUUUUUCCUUGUUUUUGCUUUCUUCCCUUUAUAUUUUCAGAUAACACUAUAUUAGCACGUCAUGGCUGGAACAGAAAGAUAUAGAAAAAGGAGAAUGCUUAUAAUUCUCAGCGACCGUUAUCGGAGCUGAUCAAUUUGUAAAACAGACAUGUAAAGUGAUUUCAUCAUCUGUACCUGUGUACCUUGAGUUGAAGCAUGUGCUACCACGUUUUUGCAACCGUUGCCGGGGCAAAAACAGUUAUAGUAAAGACAUUUAGUAGUCUUAAAUCGAAACACAUAGACAUUUCAAUAGGUUAAAUUAUUAAAAUGCUUUUAUCCAGCCAUGGCCAUUUUCAUGCCAACACGUUUUUGUUAAUAAAUACUAGUAAGUUUUUUA